This 856-nucleotide long non-coding RNA is filed under the name Linum usitatissimum (flax). Its description in RNAcentral is "long non-coding RNA (LUSI_LNC007947)". The record is from RNAcentral. Lineage: Eukaryota; Viridiplantae; Streptophyta; Magnoliopsida; Malpighiales; Linaceae.
UUAGUAUUUGGCUUUUUGGAAAUCUAUGUUUAUUACGUAAGAGUCCUGAGUAGGUAACAUUUUACACAUAUAUCAAACAAGAACACCAGACACCUUACAAACACUUACAAACACAGCUAUUGUUGUAGUUACCACACCAAUACCAAACCAAACAGCAUUCCCAAUUGACCCAACUCUUGUGUUCAAUUGCUUCACCUCUUCACCUAGUGCAUCUAGUUUGGCUACGAUUAUGGACAUUUGAUUGGACAUCAGCUUCAACUCCCUCUAGACGCAAUCCAUUGUCUGCUCGCCAGACAGGACUUCAGCCUGACUGGGUUGCAAGCUGAACUUGUCUUCCUUAAUAGGGACUCGUACAGAACCACUAGAUGCAUUUGUGAAACCUGAGAACGAUGAUUCUCCAUGUACCCACUCAAAUUACUUACAAUUGGAAUUCUUGUCCUAUAAUGAACAUGAAUAACCAUAAACGCGGGUGAAACUAUAACUGGACCUUGAAUGACAACAAUGAAAACGUGGGAAAUACCUUCCAAAACGGGCAUCGGUAGAACUGCCUGCCUGGAUUGUCAACCGUGUCGGAUACCAGAACUAGAGCCCUUUCUCUAUGCUUGUAGUGCUUGUGAUUUAGGGUGGAUCCAAUCGAAGAAACGAAGGAUGUUGAUCCCUGUUUCAUGAUACCAAAUCAGGGACUGUACGUAUAGGGAUUUAGGGUUACAUAGGGGGAUUUGAAUAGGGAAGAGAUUCAAAACAUUAUUAGGAUAGAGGAUUGGCGAUGCCGCAGGCGGUCAACGACGGUGGCUGGCGGAUUUUGUUGACGAACAACCAGAUGAAAAAGAAGAAGAAUACGAAGAAUACGUAGGUU